RNAcentral lists this non-coding RNA (105 nucleotides) under Erwinia billingiae. RNAcentral describes it as "TPP sequence". It matches the Rfam family "TPP riboswitch aptamer (THI element)". From Rfam's summary of the family: Vitamin B(1) in its active form thiamin pyrophosphate (TPP) is an essential coenzyme that is synthesised by coupling of pyrimidine and thiazole moieties in bacteria. The previously detected thiamin-regulatory element, thi box was extended, resulting in a new, highly conserved RNA secondary structure, the THI element, which is widely distributed in eubacteria and also occurs in some archaea. The record is from Rfam by way of RNAcentral. Lineage: Bacteria; Pseudomonadati; Pseudomonadota; Gammaproteobacteria; Enterobacterales; Erwiniaceae.
AGCCUCUCCGAGGGGUGUCCUUUAUGGGCUGAGAUGGCGACGUUAGCCGGACCCUUUGAACCUGAUCUGGGUCAUGCCAGCGAAGGGACGGGUUGGCAAUAGCAC